AACGAACGCUGGCGGCAUGCCUAACACAUGCAAGUCGAACGAUGCCUUCGGGCAUAGUGGCGCACGGGUGCGUAACGCGUGGGAAUCUGCCUUUCGGUUCGGAAUAACUCAGGGAAACUUGAGCUAAUACCGGAUAACGUCGCAAGACCAAAGAUUUAUCACCGAAAGAUGAGCCCGCGUAGGAUUAGCUAGUUGGUGAGGUAAAGGCUCACCAAGGCGACGAUCCUUAGCUGGUCUGAGAGGAUGAUCAGCCACACUGGGACUGAGACACGGCCCAGACUCCUACGGGAGGCAGCAGUGGGGAAUAUUGGACAAUGGGCGAAAGGCUGAUGCAGCAAUGCCGCGUGAGUGAUGAAGGCCUUAGGGUUGUAAAGCUCUUUUACCCGGGAAGAUAAUGACGGUACCGGGAGAAUAAGCCCCGGCUAACUCCGUG
RNAcentral lists this ribosomal RNA (433 nucleotides) under uncultured bacterium. RNAcentral describes it as "partial 16S ribosomal RNA". It matches the Rfam family "Bacterial small subunit ribosomal RNA", at positions 29 to 507 of the family's 1533-position model. The record is from RNAcentral.